CACACACACACACACACACACACACACAUACAUUCACACCCCAUCCCACGGCUAGGGCUGAGAAGGGACCCAGACUCCAUUAAAUCAAAAGAAUGCCAAUUAACCUAUCAUGAUUAGGGUCCCGUUAGCAAGGAAAAAGGGAAAGACUGUCAGAUGAGAAAGCUGAGGUUUGGAGAGAAAAAUGAAAUGCUAUCAAGCGACAUAAAAGGAGUUAAAAACUAGACAGUCUGACUCUGAAGCCAAAACUGUUAGCCCUUAUGUACAAAUGCCUCUGAGAGCUACAUGACUCUGAAAGCUCCGUGCUAUUGGAAACUUCAGCCAGCUUAAAGAUUAAGUGGAGGAGAUACAGUAAUCACCUAGAAGUCUAACUCUGCCAUCCCUAUUCUUAUCUAUGACCCUGGAAGCCAUUUCAUGUGACUUCCGUCCAAAGACAUGAGAAAUGGCUAGAAGGAAGGGGCCACUGAAAAUCUCUAGGAAAAGAGAAACAACAGCAGUAACUAGCAACCUCUUUUCAUGAGUACCAAUAAAGUAAGACCUGAGCUGCUUCCUGGCCCCGUGGAAAUUCAGCAGGACUAUGGAAGUGAGAAUGAGGGAGAGGAG
This 600-nucleotide long non-coding RNA is filed under the name Equus caballus (horse). RNAcentral's name for it is "lncRNA (ENSECAG00000059985.1)". Lineage: Eukaryota; Metazoa; Chordata; Mammalia; Perissodactyla; Equidae. The record is from RNAcentral.